UACGGAGGUGGCAAGCGUUGUUCGGAAUUACUGGGUGUAAAGGGCAUGUAGGCGGCUUAGUAAGUCCCAAUUGAAAUCCUUCGGCUCAACCGAAGAACUGGUUGGGAAACUGCUUAGCUUGAGUUUGGGAGAGGAGAAUGGAAUUCCCGGUGUAAAGGUGAAAUUUGUAGAGAUCGGGAGGAACACCAGUGGCGAAGGCGAUUCUCUGGCCCAUAACUGACGCUGAGGUGCGAAAGCUAGGGGAGCAAACAGG
This 253-nucleotide ribosomal RNA is filed under the name uncultured bacterium. Its description in RNAcentral is "partial 16S ribosomal RNA". It matches the Rfam family "Bacterial small subunit ribosomal RNA", at positions 524 to 776 of the family's 1533-position model. The record is from RNAcentral.